UGAGGAAUAUUGCACAAUGGAGGAAACUCUGAUGCAGCCAUGCCGCGUGCAGGAUGAAUGCCCUAUGGGUUGUAAACUGCUUUUUUACAAGAAGAAACAUUGGUACGUGUACCAAUCUGACGGUAUUGUAAGAAUAAGCACCGGCUAACUCCGUGCCAGCAGCCGCGGUAAUACGGAGGGUGCAAGCGUUAUCCGGAUUUAUUAGGUUUAAAGGGUUCGCAGGCGGAAUUUUAAGUCAGUGGUGAAAGCCUAUAGCUUAACUAUAGAACUGCCACUGAUACUGAUAUUCUUGAGUGUAGAUGAAGUGGGCGGAAUAUGUCAUGUAGCGGUGAAAUGCAUAGAUAUGACAUGGAACACCAAUUGCGAAGGCAGCUCACUAAACUAUUACUGACGCUCAUGAACGAAAGCAUGGGGAGCGAACAGG
Molecule: ribosomal RNA, 424 nt
Filed under: uncultured bacterium
Lineage: Bacteria
Description: bacterial SSU rRNA
Rfam family: Bacterial small subunit ribosomal RNA
Source: RNAcentral